This 253-nucleotide ribosomal RNA is filed under the name uncultured bacterium. RNAcentral describes it as "partial 16S ribosomal RNA". It matches the Rfam family "Bacterial small subunit ribosomal RNA", at positions 524 to 776 of the family's 1533-position model. The record is from RNAcentral.
GACGAGGGGUCCAAGCGUUGUUCGGAAUCAUUGGGCGUAAAGCGGGUGUAGGUGGCUCUAUAAGUCAGAAGUGAAAGCCCCAAGCUUAACUUGGGAAGUGCUUUUGAUACUGUGGAGCUUGAAUGUGGGAGAGGAUCGUGGAAUUCCAGGUGUAGUGGUGAAAUACGUAGAUAUCUGGAGGAACACCGGUGGCGAAGGCGGCGAUCUGGCCCAACAUUGACACUGAGACCCGAAAGCGUGGGGAUCAAACAGG